Molecule: ribosomal RNA, 433 nt
Filed under: uncultured bacterium
Lineage: Bacteria
Description: partial 16S ribosomal RNA
Rfam family: Bacterial small subunit ribosomal RNA
Source: RNAcentral
AGCGAACGCUGGCGGCAGGCCUAACACAUGCAAGUCGAACGGAUCCUUCGGGAUUAGUGGCGGACGGGUGAGUAACCCGUUGGAACGUGCCCUUUGGUUCGGAACAACUCAGGGAAACUUGAUCUAAUACCGGCUGUGCCCUUCGGGGGAAAGAUUUAUCGCCAUUGGAGCGGCCCGCGUCUGAUUAGCUAGUUGGUGAGGUAACGGCCCACCAAGGCGACGAUCAGUAGCUGGUCUGAGAGGAUGAUCAGCCACACUGGGACUGAGACACGGCCCAGACUACUACGGGAGGCAGCAGUGGGGAAUCUUGCGCAAUGGGCGAAAGCCUGACGCAGCCAUGCCGGGUGAAUGAUGAAGGUCUGAGGAUUGUAAAAUUCUUUCAGCGGGGACGAUAAUGACGGUACCCGCAGAAGAAGCUCCGGCUAACUUCGUG